RNAcentral lists this transfer RNA (57 nucleotides) under Bacteroides sp. AF32-15BH. RNAcentral describes it as "tRNA-Ser". It matches the Rfam family "tRNA", at positions 19 to 71 of the family's 71-position model. From Rfam's summary of the family: Transfer RNA (tRNA) molecules are approximately 80 nucleotides in length. The record is from RNAcentral. Lineage: Bacteria; Pseudomonadati; Bacteroidota; Bacteroidia; Bacteroidales; Bacteroidaceae.
UAGAAUACAUGCCUGUCACGCAUGGGGUCACGGGUUCGAGUCCCGUACGCACCGCAA